This 359-nucleotide ribosomal RNA is filed under the name Haptophyta environmental samples. RNAcentral describes it as "SSU rRNA". It matches the Rfam family "Eukaryotic small subunit ribosomal RNA", at positions 595 to 957 of the family's 1831-position model. Lineage: Eukaryota; Haptophyta. The record is from RNAcentral.
UAGCGUAUAUUAAAGUUGUUGCAGUUAAAACGCUCGUAGUCGGAUUUCGGGGCGUGCGAGCCGGUCUGCCGAUGGGUAUGCACUGGUUGUGCGCGUCCUUUCUUUCGGAGCUCUCUGCUGCUCUUAGCUGAGCGGUGGAGGGAGACGGAUCGUUUACUUUGAAAAAAUCAGAGUGUUUCAAGCAGGCAGCUCGCUCUUGCAUGGAUUAGCAUGGGAUAAUGAAAUAGGACUCUGGUGCUAUUUUGUUGGUUUCGAACACCGGAGUAAUGAUCAACAGGGACAGUCAGGGGCACUCGUAUUCCGCCGAGAGAGGUGAAAUUCUCAGACCAGCGGAAGACGAACCACUGCGAAAGCAUUUG